Molecule: transfer RNA, 74 nt
Filed under: Dactylosporangium sucinum
Lineage: Bacteria; Bacillati; Actinomycetota; Actinomycetes; Micromonosporales; Micromonosporaceae
Description: tRNA-Pro
Source: RNAcentral
CGGGAACGACCGGCUCGGUGACCGGACCUGGCCUGGGACCAGGAAGUGCGGGGUUCGACUCCCCGGUUCCCGAC